CCCAGACUCCUACGGGAGGCAGCAGUGGGGGAUAUUGCACAAUGGGGGGAACCCUGAUGCAGCGACGCCGCGUGGGUGAAGAAGCGCCUCGGCGCGUAAAGCCCUGUCAGCAGGGAAGAAAAUGACGGUACCUGAAGAAGAAGCCCCGGCUAACUACGUGCCAGCAGCCGCGGUAAUACGUAGGGGGCAAGCGUUAUCCGGAUUUACUGGGUGUAAAGGGGGCGCAGACGGCGAUGCAAGCCAGGAGUGAAAGCCCGGGGCCCAACCCCGGGACUGCUCUUGGAACUGCGUGGCUGGAGUGCAGGAGGGGCAGGCGGAAUUCCUGGUGUAGCGGUGAAAUGCGUAGAUAUCAGGAGGAACACCGGUGGCGAAGGCGGCCUGCUGGACUGCAACUGACGUUGAGGCCCGAAAGCGUGGGGAGCAAACGGGAUUAGAUACCCGCGUA
RNAcentral lists this ribosomal RNA (445 nucleotides) under uncultured bacterium. RNAcentral's name for it is "bacterial SSU rRNA". It matches the Rfam family "Bacterial small subunit ribosomal RNA", at positions 330 to 792 of the family's 1533-position model. The record is from RNAcentral.